Molecule: ribosomal RNA, 409 nt
Filed under: uncultured Nitrososphaerota archaeon
Lineage: Archaea; Thermoproteati; Nitrososphaerota
Description: bacterial SSU rRNA
Rfam family: Archaeal small subunit ribosomal RNA
Source: RNAcentral
CUGGUGUCAGCCGCCGCGGUAAUACCAGCACCCCGAGUGGUCGGGACGAUUAUUGGGCCUAAAGCAUCCGUAGCCGGCCUUACAAGUCCUCCGUUAAAUCCAGCUGCUUAACAGAUGGGCUGCGGAGGAUACUAUAAGACUAGGAGGCAGGAGAGGCAAGCGGUACUCAGUGGGUAGGGGUAAAAUCCGUUGAUCCAUUGAAGACCACCAGUGGCGAAGGCGGCUUGCCAGAAUGCGCUCGACGGUGAGGGAUGAAAGCUGGGGGAGCAAACCGGAUUAGAUACCCGGGUAGUCCCAGCUGUAAACGAUGCAGACUCGGUGAUGGACUAGCUUUAUGCUGGUCCAGUGCCGCAGGGAAGCCGUCAAGUCUGCCGCCUGGGUAGUACGGUCGCAAGACUGAAACUUAAAG